GGAAAGCGGCCUUCCGGGACUCCGCAAACUCCCGUUCUCCCUCCCCCCUCCCCCUUGCCAUUCCCUUUGCCUUCCGGGCGCCAAGUCUCUCUGGCCUCCAAGGUGAACCCAACUCCCCAGCGCGCCCCGGGUUCCCGGGUCGGGCCGGCUUCAGGCGGUGGGGAGCGGGAUCCCGGGCCCCGGGCGGGCGGGAGGGACGGGACGCGGUGCAGUGUUGUUUUUUCCCCCGCCAAUAUUGCACUCGUCCCGGCCUCCGGCCCCCCCGGCCCCCCGGCCUCCCCGCUACCCCUAGCGGGGCAGCCCCCGCCCUCUUGGCUCUCCAUCCCGGCGGAUCUUUGAUAGACUGGAGUGUCGCCGCUGCCACCACGGGAAAAUGGGUCAUGGAGGAGUGACUUCACCAACAUCACUCAUAGGUGCUUGUGUCCAUGGUGAGAAGGGUGAUGGAGAGAAGUGGCUGCAGUUCCCACCCAUGGAGAGGUCACUGGUGAAUCCCAGCUAAAGAGGAAGGACAGGCCCGGCCUGAGUCCCACAGGCUUACCAUCUGAGUCCUUCUGAUUGGGAUUGGGUACCAGGCGGCAGUUAUCAGGACCAGGAGGCACAUAAUCUGGGAUGCCAUCAUUGUCAUCAUCCCCAUCACACUCAUCUCCAAGUCCAUCGUUAUCAGAGUCCAGCUGGGAGCUAUUUGGCAGCUGUGGGCAGUUGUCCUUGGUGUCCUGAUGCCCAUCCCCAUCGCUAAUCAGAAGAACAGGUUGGUGAAAGUCCUGAACUUUGUCUCCCCACCCAGAGGACAACUGGCCAGGAAAUCUGCCUGUUUCUUGUCUCACCCUCUAGUCCACACUCUGCCUAACGCUACGCCCUACCUCACAUUCCUAUUGACAUCUGCUGCAGGUAAUCUCUCCUCACCCAGGCCAACGUCCACAAGC
RNAcentral lists this non-coding RNA (923 nucleotides) under Pan troglodytes (chimpanzee). The record is from RNAcentral. Lineage: Eukaryota; Metazoa; Chordata; Mammalia; Primates; Hominidae.